This 69-nucleotide non-coding RNA is filed under the name Deltaproteobacteria bacterium. The record is from RNAcentral. Lineage: Bacteria; Pseudomonadati; Myxococcota; Myxococcia.
ACGCGAAAAGGGGAAAACAGCCCCUGUCUUUCCGGAGACGGUAGCCGGGAACUGACGAGCGAGCCGGGG